RNAcentral lists this long non-coding RNA (651 nucleotides) under Nilaparvata lugens (brown planthopper). RNAcentral's name for it is "uncharacterized LOC120355418". The record is from RNAcentral. Lineage: Eukaryota; Metazoa; Arthropoda; Insecta; Hemiptera; Delphacidae.
CGGGAUUCUUGGGAGAGUUCCCCUUCGCCCGAAUAUACUCGUCUAGUCCAAGCGACUCUCUGCCACGACCGAGAGCUUCCCACGAAACCAGGUCACCGCCUAUGCGACACCUUAUCUGUCGACCCGAGUGCCCCAGAAGUGCGACACGUGUGACACGCGGCCAGCGCGUGCAGGGAUGAGUGCACGUGCUAAGGCAUCUGCUGAGCGAUGCUCAACAUCUAACACGGUAUCAGUUUCCUUGGUGCGACUACUGAAGUCAGCGAGUUCGAAUCCCGCUCUCUCCUCGUUCAGUGAAAGCCUUCCCCGAUAAUGUUACCCGCAGCCGUCGUGAAUGGGUGCAAGAAAGAUUGCCGAGGUUUGCCCUCAGUUCAAGUCCGUCAUGGCAAAUGCACGUCUACCCAACUUACCUCAGGAUGGCGUGCAUCGCGGAAAAAUCAGGCACUAGGAGGGCGUCCCUGCACGUUGAAGGUCGUGUAUUCAGGUCAUCGUCUACAUACAUGUCAUUUUUUCUGGAGUACAGGACUAAGUUGUCAAUCGAUGGGAAUUAAGGGUAGCCGACAAGAGUUCGUGUGAAGUGCCUAGGAUAGAUUGAUACGAGUACUUCGCAGUUACAGUCCGCUAGGAUCUCCCAUGCUAGGCGGGGAAUUGUCC